UACGUAGGUGGCAAGCGUUGUCCGGAUUUACUGGGUGUAAAGGGCGUGUAGGCGGGAAUUUAAGUCAGAUGUGAAAGCCCAUGGCUCAACUGUGGGACUGCAUCUGAAACUAAGUUUCUUGAGUGCUGGAGAGGAAAGCGGAAUUCCUAGUGUAGCGGUGAAAUGCGUAGAUAUUAGGAGGAACACCAGUGGCGAAGGCGGCUUUCUGGACAGUAACUGACGCUGAGGCGCGAAAGUGUGGGGAGCAAACGGG
This 253-nucleotide ribosomal RNA is filed under the name uncultured bacterium. Its description in RNAcentral is "partial 16S ribosomal RNA". It matches the Rfam family "Bacterial small subunit ribosomal RNA", at positions 524 to 776 of the family's 1533-position model. The record is from RNAcentral.